GAUGAACGCUGGCGGCAUGCUUAACACAUGCGAGUCGAACGGGAAGUGGUGUUUCCAGUGGCGAACGGGUGAGUAACGCGUAAGAACCUGCCAUUGGGAGGGGAACAACAACUGGAAACGGUUGCUAAUACCCCGUAGGCUGAGGAGCAAAAGGAGAAAUCCGCCCAAGGAGGGGCUCGCGUCUGAUUAGCUAGUUGGUGAGGUAAUAGCUUACCAAGGCGAUGAUCAGUAGCUGGUCCGAGAGGAUGAUCAGCCACACUGGGACUGAGACACGGCCCAGACUCCUACGGGAGGCAGCAGUGGGGAAUUUUCCGCAAUGGGCGAAAGCCUGACGGAGCAAUGCCGCGUGGAGGUGGAAGGCCUACGGGUCGUCAACUUCUUUUCUCGGAGAAGAAACAAUGACGGUAUCUGAGGAAUAAGCAUCGGCUAACUCUGUG
RNAcentral lists this ribosomal RNA (437 nucleotides) under uncultured bacterium. Its description in RNAcentral is "partial 16S ribosomal RNA". It matches the Rfam family "Bacterial small subunit ribosomal RNA", at positions 28 to 507 of the family's 1533-position model. The record is from RNAcentral.